Molecule: ribosomal RNA, 647 nt
Filed under: uncultured bacterium
Lineage: Bacteria
Description: bacterial SSU rRNA
Rfam family: Bacterial small subunit ribosomal RNA
Source: RNAcentral
GUAAUGCGUAGGAAGCUGCCCAAUAGAGGGGGAUACCAGUUGGAAACGACUGUUAAUACCGCAUAAUGUCUACGGACCAAAGUGUGGGACCUUCGGGCCACAUGCUAUCGGAUGCGCCUACGUGGGAUUAGCUAGUUGGUGAGGUAAUGGCUCACCAAGGCGACGAUCUCUAGCUGGUUUGAGAGGAUGAUCAGCCACACUGGAACUGAGACACGGUCCAGACUCCUACGGGAGGCAGCAGUGGGGAAUAUUGGACAAUGGGCGCAAGCCUGAUCCAGCCAUGCCGCGUGUGUGAAGAAGGCCUUCGGGUUGUAAAGCACUUUCAGCGAGGAGGAAGGGGUAGUAGUUAAUAGCUGCUACUUUUGACGUUACUCGCAGAAGAAGCACCGGCUAACUCUGUGCCAGCAGCCGCGGUAAUACAGAGGGUGCAAGCGUUAAUCGGAAUUACUGGGCGUAAAGCGCACGUAGGCGGUUGGUUAAGUUGGAUGUGAAAGCCCCGGGCUCAACCUGGGAAUUGCAUUCAAAACUGGCCAACUAGAAUACGGGAGAGGGGGGUAGAAUUCCAAGUGUAGCGGUGAAAUGCGUAGAGAUUUGGAGGAAUACCAGUGGCGAAGGCGGCCCCCUGGCCCGAUAUUGACGCUGAGGUG